AGAGUUUGAUCCUGGCUCAGAGCGAACGCUGGCGGCAGGCUUAACACAUGCAAGUCGAGCGGGCGUAGUAGUACGUCAGCGGCAGACGGGUGAGUAACGCGUGGGAACGUACCUUUUGGUUCGGAACAACUGAGGGAAACUUCAGCUAAUACCGGAUAAGCCCUUACGGGGAAAGAUUUAUCGCCGAAAGAUCGGCCCGCGUCUGAUUAGCUAGUUGGUGAGGUAACGGCUCACCAAGGCGACGAUCAGUAGCUGGUCUGAGAGGAUGAUCAGCCACACUGGGACUGAGAUACGGCCCAGACUCCUACGGGAGGCAGCAGUGGGGAAUAUUGGACAAUGGGGGCAACCCUGAUCCAGCAAUGCCGCGUGGAUGAUGAAGGCCUUCGGGUUGUAAAGUCCUUUCGGCGGGGAAGAUGAUGACGGUACCCGCAGAAGAAGCCCCGGCUAACUUCGUGCCAGCAGCCGCGGUAAUACGAAGGGGGCUAGCGUUGUUCGGAAUUACUGGGCGUAAAGGGCGCGUAGGCUGUGCUGUAAGUCAGGCGUGAAAGCCCCGGGCUCAACCUGGGAAUUGCGCUUGAUACUGCGGCGCUGGAAGGUGGGAGAGGAUGGCGGAAUUCCCAGUGUAGAGGUGAAAUUCGUAGAUAUUGGGAAGAACACCGGUGGCGAAGGCGGCCAUCUGGCCCACAUUUGACGCUGAGGCGCGAAAGCGUGGGGAGCAAACAGGAUUAGAUACCCCCGUAGUCC
This 744-nucleotide ribosomal RNA is filed under the name uncultured bacterium. Its description in RNAcentral is "bacterial SSU rRNA". It matches the Rfam family "Bacterial small subunit ribosomal RNA", at positions 8 to 796 of the family's 1533-position model. The record is from RNAcentral.